RNAcentral lists this ribosomal RNA (387 nucleotides) under uncultured bacterium. Its description in RNAcentral is "bacterial SSU rRNA". It matches the Rfam family "Bacterial small subunit ribosomal RNA", at positions 28 to 418 of the family's 1533-position model. The record is from RNAcentral.
GAUGAACGCUAGCGGGAGGCUUAAUACAUGCAAGUCGAGCGCUCUGACUUCGGUUGGGGAGCGGCGCACGGGUGAGUAACACGUACGCAAUCUACCUUAAGCUGGGGGAUAGCCCUGGGAAACUGGGAGUAAUCCGCCAUAGUAUUUGAAGAUGGCAUCACCUUCAAAUUAAAGUGAUAGCGGCUUAAGAUGAGCGUGCGUCUGAUUAGCUAGUUGGCGAGGUAACGGCUCACCAAGGCGACGAUCAGUAAGGGGCGUGAGAGCGUGGCCCCUCACACGGGUACUGAGACACGGACCCGACUCCUACGGGAGGCAGCAGUAAGGAAUAUUGGACAAUGGGCGGGAAGACCUCGAUCCAGCCAUCCCGCCGUGCUUGAUGAAGGCCCU